RNAcentral lists this ribosomal RNA (465 nucleotides) under Vreelandella stevensii. Its description in RNAcentral is "partial 16S ribosomal RNA". It matches the Rfam family "Bacterial small subunit ribosomal RNA", at positions 338 to 795 of the family's 1533-position model. The record is from RNAcentral. Lineage: Bacteria; Pseudomonadati; Pseudomonadota; Gammaproteobacteria; Oceanospirillales; Halomonadaceae.
CCUACGGGAUGCUGCAGUGGGGAAUAUUGGACAAUGGGCGAAAGCCUGAUCCAGCCAUGCCGCGUGUGUGAAGAAGGCCUUCGGGUUGUAAAGCACUUUCAGUGGGGAAGAAAGCCUUGGGGCUAAUACCCUCGAGGAAGGACAUCACCCACAGAAGAAGCACCGGCUAACUCCGUGCCAGCAGCCGCGGUAAUACGGAGGGUGCGAGCGUUAAUCGGAAUUACUGGGCGUAAAGCGCGCGUAGGCGGUCUGAUAAGCCGGUUGUGAAAGCCCCGGGCUCAACCUGGGAACGGCAUCCGGAACUGUCAGGCUAGAGUGCAGGAGAGGAAGGUAGAAUUCCCGGUGUAGCGGUGAAAUGCGUAGAGAUCGGGAGGAAUACCAGUGGCGAAGGCGGCCUUCUGGACUGACACUGACGCUGAGGUGCGAAAGCGUGGGUAGCAAACAGGAUUAGAUACCCGGGUAGUC